UAAGGAAUAUUGGUCAAUGGACGGAAGUCUGAACCAGCCAUGCCGCGUGCAGGAAGACGGCCCUACGGGUUGUAAACUGCUUUUGCAGGGGAAUAAACCUUCUUUCGUGAAAGAAGCUGAAUGUACUCUGAGAAUAAGGAUCGGCUAACUCCGUGCCAGCAGCCGCGGUAAUACGGAGGAUCCAAGCGUUAUCCGGAUUUAUUGGGUUUAAAGGGUGCGUAGGCGGCUUUUUAAGUCAGGGGUGAAAGACGGUAGCUUAACUAUCGCAGUGCCUUUGAUACUGAAGAGCUUGAAUAUACUUGAGGUAGGCGGAAUGUGACAAGUAGCGGUGAAAUGCAUAGAUAUGUCACAGAACACCAAUUGCGAAGGCAGCUUACUAAAGUAAGAUUGACGCUGAGGCACGAAAGCGUGGGGAUCAAACA
This 422-nucleotide ribosomal RNA is filed under the name uncultured Mucilaginibacter sp. RNAcentral describes it as "bacterial SSU rRNA". It matches the Rfam family "Bacterial small subunit ribosomal RNA", at positions 355 to 774 of the family's 1533-position model. Lineage: Bacteria; Pseudomonadati; Bacteroidota; Sphingobacteriia; Sphingobacteriales; Sphingobacteriaceae. The record is from RNAcentral.